Molecule: microRNA precursor, 142 nt
Filed under: Citrus sinensis (sweet orange)
Lineage: Eukaryota; Viridiplantae; Streptophyta; Magnoliopsida; Sapindales; Rutaceae
Description: miR156g stem-loop (csi-MIR156g)
Gene: csi-MIR156g
Source: miRBase by way of RNAcentral
AUAUGGGGUGAGGCAUUGUCGAUGAUGCUGUUGACGGAAGAUAGAGAGCACAGAUGAUGAAAUGCGUGGAGCUUGCAUCUCACUCCUUUGUGCUCUCUAUUCUUCUGUCAUCAUCUUCAGCCUCUCCCUUUACAUAACAUAU